RNAcentral lists this ribosomal RNA (492 nucleotides) under uncultured bacterium. Its description in RNAcentral is "partial 16S ribosomal RNA". It matches the Rfam family "Bacterial small subunit ribosomal RNA", at positions 30 to 507 of the family's 1533-position model. The record is from RNAcentral.
AUUGAACGCUGGCGGCAGGCCUAACACAUGCAAGUCGAGCGGCAGCACAGUAAUUGCUCCUGGUUUCGGCGGGGGACGGGCGGAUGGUGCCUAGGAAUCUCGCAGGCUAUUUUGUCGAAGGUGCGGACGUGGGGGAUAUUACCCUAUUACUGCAUAGGGCCUAAGGGUGAGAGCUGGGGAUCUCAGGCCCUUGCGCGAUCGAAUGACGCUAGGUCGGAUUAGCUAGUUGGUGGGGUAAAGGCCCACCAAGGCGACGAUCCGUAGCUGGUCUGAGAGGAUGAUCAGCCACACUGGAACUGAGACACGGUCCAGACUCCUACGGGAGGCAGCAGUGGGGAAUAUUGGACAAUGGGCGCAAGCCUGAUCCAGCCAUGCUGCGUGUGUGAAGAAGGUCUUCGGAUUGUAAAGCACUUUUGUUGGGAAAGAAGAGCAGCAGGUUAAUACCUCGCUGUUUUGACGUUACCAAAAGAAUAAGCACCGGCUAACUUCGUG